This 441-nucleotide ribosomal RNA is filed under the name uncultured bacterium. RNAcentral describes it as "partial 16S ribosomal RNA". It matches the Rfam family "Bacterial small subunit ribosomal RNA", at positions 338 to 795 of the family's 1533-position model. The record is from RNAcentral.
CCUACGGGUGGCUGCAGUAGGGAAUAUUGCACAAUGGGCGAAAGCCUGAUGCAGCGACGCCGCGUGCAGGAUGACGGUUUUCGGAUUGUAAACUGCUGUUCUUAGUGAAGAAUAAUUACAGUAAGUAAUGAGUAAACCACGGCUAAAUAAUUUCCGACAGCCGCGGGAAUAAGUAGGUGGCAAGCGGUGACCGGAAUUACUGGGUGUAAAGGAAGCGUAGGCGGGUAGCCAAGUCAGUUGGUAAAACUCCGGGCUUAACCCGUGGACUGCAUUUGAUACUGGCAUACUAGAGGGAGGUAGAGGUAGGCGGAAUUCCGAGUGUAGCGGUGAAAUGCGUAGAUAUUCGGAAGAACACCGAUGGCGAAGGCAGCCAACUGGGCUUAAACUGACGCUGAGGCUCGAAAGUGUGGGGAGCAAACAGGAGUAGAUACCCCAGUAGUC